UUUUUUGGUGACGGUACCUGGAGAAGAAGCACCGGCUAACUACGUGCCCAGCCAGCCGCGUAAUACGUAGGGUGCGAGCGUUGUCCGGAAAUUACUGGGCGUAAAAGAGCUUCGUAGGUGGUUUUGUCGCGUCGUCUGUGAAAAUUCCGGGGGCUUAACUUCGGGCGUGCAGGGCGAUACGGGGCAUAAACUUGAGUGGCUGUAGGGGGAGAACUGGAAUUUCCUGGUGKAGCGGUGAAAAUGCGCAGAUAUCAGGAGGAACACCGAUGGCGAAGGCAGGUCUCUGGGCAGUAACUGACGGUGAGGAGCGAAAGCAUGGGUAGCGAACAGGAUUAGAUACCCUGGUAGUCCAUGCCGUAAACGGUGGGCGCUAGGUGUGGGGGUUUUUCAAGAAUUCUGUGCCGUAGCUAACGCUUUUAGCGCCCCGCCUGGGGAGUACGGCCGCAAGGCUAAAACUCAAAGGAAUUGACGGGGGCCCGCACCAGCGGCGGAGCAUGUGGAUUAAUUCGAUGCAACGCGAAGAACCUUACCUGGGCUUGACAUAUGCAGGAUCGCGCCAGAGAUGGUGUUUCCCUUGUGGCUUGUAUACAGGUGGUGCAUGGUUGUCGUCAGCUCGUGUCGUGAGAUGUUGGGUUAAGUCCCGCAACGAGCGCAACCCUUGUCUUAUGUUGCCAGCACGUGAUGGUGGGGACUCAUGAGAGACUGCCGGGGUCAACUCGGAGGAAGGUGGGGAUGACGUCAAAUCAUCAUGCCCCUUAUGUCCAGGGCUUCACACAUGCUACAAUGGUCGGUACAGUGGGUUGCGAGACCGUGAGGUGGAGCGAAUCCCUUUGAAAGCCGGCCUCAGUUCGGAUUGGGGUCUGCAACUCGACCCCAUGAAGUCGGAGUCGCUAGUAAUCGCAGAUCAGCAAUGCUGCGGUGAAUACGUUCCCGGGCCUUGUACACACC
This 948-nucleotide ribosomal RNA is filed under the name Corynebacterium canis. RNAcentral's name for it is "bacterial SSU rRNA". Lineage: Bacteria; Bacillati; Actinomycetota; Actinomycetes; Mycobacteriales; Corynebacteriaceae. The record is from RNAcentral.